This 69-nucleotide transfer RNA is filed under the name Isthmohyla tica (Starrett's treefrog). Its description in RNAcentral is "tRNA-Val". It matches the Rfam family "tRNA". From Rfam's summary of the family: Transfer RNA (tRNA) molecules are approximately 80 nucleotides in length. The record is from RNAcentral. Lineage: Eukaryota; Metazoa; Chordata; Amphibia; Anura; Hylidae.
CAAAGUAUAGCUUAAAUAAAGCGCCCCGCUUACACCGAGAUUAUCUCUGUUAAAACCAGAUUACUUUGA